Molecule: ribosomal RNA, 544 nt
Filed under: uncultured bacterium
Lineage: Bacteria
Description: bacterial SSU rRNA
Rfam family: Bacterial small subunit ribosomal RNA
Source: RNAcentral
ACGGUACCUGAAGAAUAAGCACCGGCUAACUACGUGCCAGCAGCCGCGGUAAUACGUAGGGUGCGAGCGUUAAUCGGAUUACUGGGCGUAAAGCGGGCGCAGACGGUUACUUAAGCAGGAUGUGAAAUCCCCGGGCUCAACCUGGGAACUGCGUUCUGAACUGGGUGACUAGAGUGUGUCAGAGGGAGGUAGAAUUCCACGUGCAGCAGUGAAAUGCGUAGAGAUGUGGAGGAAUACCGAUGGCGAAGGCAGCCUCCUGGGAUAACACUGACGUUCAUGCCCGAAAGCGUGGGUAGCAAACAGGAUUAGAUACCCUGGUAGUCCACGCCCUAAACGAUGUCGAUUAGCUGUUGGGCAGCUUGACUGCUUAGUAGCGAAGCUAACGCGUGAAAUCGACCGCCUGGGGAGUACGGUCGCAAGAUUAAAACUCAAAGGAAUUGACGGGGACCCGCACGAAGCGGUGGAUGAUGUGGAUUAAUUCGAUGCAACGCGAAGAACCUUACCUGGUCUUGACAUGUACGGAACCCUCCAGAGACGGUAGGGG